UAUGUGUGUGUUUGGUUCUGAGGUGUGUAGAAUUGAUUCUGACAGAAUUGAUUCUGAAAGAAUUGAUUUUGACAGAAUUGAUUCUGACAGAAUUGAUUUAUGUUUGGAUGCAAUAAUGCAGAAUUGAUUAAACAGAAUGAUUGUUGUUUGGAUAGUUUUGAUCAAAAUUACUUUUGAAUGUAUAAUUACCAAAAUAGACAUAGUUAAAUACAAAUAAAUAGAAAUUACUAAAUUAA
Molecule: long non-coding RNA, 236 nt
Filed under: Medicago truncatula (barrel medic)
Lineage: Eukaryota; Viridiplantae; Streptophyta; Magnoliopsida; Fabales; Fabaceae
Description: long non-coding RNA (MTRU_LNC005359)
Source: RNAcentral